Molecule: ribosomal RNA, 1060 nt
Filed under: Osteocephalus taurinus (Manaus slender-legged treefrog)
Lineage: Eukaryota; Metazoa; Chordata; Amphibia; Anura; Hylidae
Description: partial 16S ribosomal RNA
Rfam family: Bacterial large subunit ribosomal RNA
Source: RNAcentral
UACUCAAGAAAAGGAUUUAAGUCCAGCCUAAAGUCUUCUUAGUUUAUCAAAACGUAACCUCGACUUUAGAGUAAUUCAAAUAAGGUACAGCCUAUUUGAAAAAGGAUACAACCUAAACUAACGGGUAAUGAUUUAACUUUAUAACUAAGUGGGCCUAAAAGCAGCCACCUUUAAAACAGCGUCAAAGCUUCAUUAUAACACACACCUAAUACCAUAAAAAUUUAAUACCCCUUUAAUUCUAUUGAGUAAUUCUAUACUAUUAUAGAAAAUAUAAUGUUAAAACUAGUAACAAGAAGAAGACCUUCUCUUUAAUGCAAGUGUAAAUCAGAAAGGACCUCCCACUGAUAAUUAACCCCUAUGAAACUACAUUAGCAACCUCACAAGAAAACCCUAAUAAAUUUUGAGUUAAUCUAACACAAGAGCAUUACAAGAAAGAUUUAAAGAAAAAGAAGGAACUCGGCAAACAUUAACCUCGCCUGUUUACCAAAAACAUCGCCUCUUGAAUAACUAUAAGAGGUCCAGCCUGCCCAGUGACUUUGUUCAACGGCCGCGGUAUCCUAACCGUGCGAAGGUAGCGUAAUCACUUGUCUUUUAAAUGGGGACUUGUAUGAAUGGCAUCACGAGGGUUAUACUGUCUCCUUUUUCUAAUCAGUGAAACUAAUCUUCCCGUGAAGAAGCGGGAAUAAACAUAUAAGACGAGAAGACCCUAUGGAGCUUUAAACUCAAUAACAAAUACUAACCUUACAUUAACCUUCAGAAUAUUAACCUUAAUUUUAGUAUUAUGAUUAUUAGUUUUAGGUUGGGGUGACCGCGGAGUAAAAAUUAACCUCCACAUUGAACGGGACCUAUCCCUGAGCCAAGAACUACAGCUCAAAGCACCAACAAAUUGACAUUAAUUGACCCAAUAUUUUGAUCAACGAACCAAGUUACCCUAGGGAUAACAGCGCAAUCCACUUCAAGAGCUCCUAUCGACAAGUGGGUUUACGACCUCGAUGUUGGAUCAGGGUCUCCCAGUGGUGCAGCCGCUACUAAAGGUUCGUUUGUUCAACGAUUAAAACCC